UAGUAUAGAAAAUAACAAUCGAUGGAUUUUUUUACCUUAUCAUGCUGACGUUUGAUUUAAUUUUGCAAUUCAAAGUACAUUAUGUAUGUACAAUUAAGAUUUUGAGAAAUUAGUUGCAUUUACGCCAAUAAUAAAGGAACCAAAGUCGACACAGAGAGAGUAAAUUAUAAUAUUUAUUAAAAUUAUCUUGAGUGUGUUCAAAAUACAUAAUUGUAAAUACAUUAUACACAUUUCUGAACGAUAUAACGAUAAAGAAUCGCAAAAUAGGAUAGUCUAAAUACUUGUAAAGAUAAAAAAAAAAAAAUUGAGGCUAAGUUCUACAGGCAAGUAGAGGCUAAGUUUCAAAACGUACAUAUUAUAAAAUGGUAGAAGUAAAAGCGAAACAUACACUUCAUAGUGGCAUUUUUCAUCCUGUUUUACGACAAUGGCAAUCACCAAAUGUAGAAAUUACAGUUAACAAUCUUAUGUAUCCAAUUUUUGUCUUAGAUGAACAAAAUGCUAAGGAGGCAAUUGCUAGUAUGCCAGGUGUUUAUCGAUAUGGUAUCAAUGAAUUACGAAAAACAUUGUUGCCAUUGGUUUCAAAGGGUUUGCAAUCAAUAUUAUUGUUUGGAGUGUCGAAACACUUGAAGAAGGAUCAUAUUGGAAGUAAUGCAGACAGUUUACAGAAUCCUAUUAUUCAAGCUGUACCUUUAAUAAGACACUGGUUCCCAAAUUUAUUAAUAGCAUGCGAUGUUUGUCUGUGUCCUUAUACUAUUCAUGGGCAUUGUGGAAUUUUAAAUGAAGAUGGAAGCAUAAAUAACAAAGCUAGCAUUGCACGUAUUUCUGAAAUUGCUCUUGCAUAUGCAAAAGCUGGAGCACAGAUUGUGGCACCAUCCGAUAUGAUGGAUGGAAGGAUCGGUGCAAUUAAAAACAAAUUAGCAGCAGCUGGAUUAAUUAAUAAAGUUGCAGUUUUAUCAUAUUCAGUGAAAUUUGCAUCAGGAUUUUAUGGACCUUUUAGAGAUGCUUCGCAGUCUGCUCCAAAGUUUGGAGAUAGAAAAUGUUAUCAAUUACCUCCAGGAAGUAAUGGAUUAGCCGCAAGAGCAGCUGCUAGAGAUGUGUCCGAAGGAGCUGAUAUGCUUAUGGUAAAACCAGGUCUAGCUUAUUUGGAUAUUGUUAGACAUACAAAGGAUGCGCAUCCAGAAUAUCCAAUGUUUGUAUAUCAAGUAUCAGGAGAAUAUGCCAUGUUGUAUCAUGGUGCUCAAAAUGGUGCAAUUAACUUGGAAAAUGUUUUAAACGAAGUUCUUCUAUCGAUGAGAAGAGCUGGAGCUGAUUGCAUCAUAACAUAUUUUACACCUUUAAUUUUAGAUAUGUUGCAACCAAAAAGCAAGUAUUAAUUAAAAAUGUUGCUACCCAGGGUGUACAUAGUUAUUUACACUGAUAUUACUUAAUAUAAAUAAACAUAUCAGUAAAUUCAUUUUGUUUAGUGUUUAACAAAAAUUACAUGUAUGCACAGUUCUGGUAUCGAAUAAAUACGGUAUCAUUGUGACGUGGGCCUAUCGAUAGCAGCCAACUGUAUGCGGCUCAACCAACUGGUGUUCGCUUUUCCAUUGGUACGGACCUUCUAAGACCAAUCAACAUAAGCCACGACGAAAUCGCCCCGUUAAUAUCUCGGUCCUGAGAUCGUUCCGUAGUCAGUCAUUCCGAGUUGUUCUUGUUGUUCGUUGAGCUUGUGACAAAUUAAAAAUAAUUUCUACUUAUAAUAAAAAGAGAUUGUAUAUAAA
Non-coding RNA from Osmia lignaria (orchard mason bee), 1760 nucleotides. NCBI's taxonomy places the organism in Eukaryota, Metazoa, Arthropoda, Insecta, Hymenoptera, Megachilidae. The record is from RefSeq and is a predicted model, not a curated record.